CAAAGGGUUGAAGGAGAGGAGUGGAGAAAGAAGGUGCCAAGAAAUCCCCCUCCUUCCAGUGAAGUCCACCCACACAGCCACCAACAGGAAGAGGGAAGCAAUUCUAGGGAGAGGCUUGGCAGGAGCUAGUUCCCUGAGCCAAGCAGGAAUACAGCCCUCGUUCUAUCCCCAGUGAUGAACCGCCCCACUCCCCCACCUCCAGCAGCUCCCCAGCUCCAGCUACACAGGGCAGAGCUGAGGAUGGCCUCUCCUUGGGUCCCCCAGAUUCAUUCCCGGGAGCUCACAACUGGCAGAGGGAAGAGGAGGGUGCUCCAGGCAGCAGCCCUGUGGGAGUGGUGGUCUCCAGCUUCAGCUGCAAGGCCAUGAAAACAGGAACCAGCCCCCUCAGCCACCGUUUCUCUGAAACCAAAGCUCAGCAACCGAAAAAGGAUCAAAAAAGCAGACGGUGGAGGUGGAGCGAGGCAGCUGCGCUUCUCAGUGCCCCUGGGCUGUCCCCAGCCCCACCUCUGGCACAGGUGGUCCAAGGAGCCCGAGACUCCAUGGCGGGUCCUACCUUUUCGGGUGAGCUGCCUCGGCUCUCCCAGCCUCCACAUCCACACAUUCCAAACAGAGACACCACUACCUCCCUGACCUACCACUUGAGAAAUUACAGAAAGAAAACACAAGGUGGCUCAUGUUUGGGCCAGCAGCCUCCAGCUGUGGACCACACAAAAAUAAUAAAAACAAAUGAUAAUGCUG
This is a long non-coding RNA of Sapajus apella (tufted capuchin), 738 nucleotides long. RefSeq lists it as uncharacterized. NCBI's taxonomy places the organism in Eukaryota, Metazoa, Chordata, Mammalia, Primates, Cebidae. The record is from RefSeq and is a predicted model, not a curated record. The transcript is spliced from 2 exons.